UCUAAGGCUGUGCCACCCUGAACAUGUCCCAUCUUGUCUAAUCUUGGAAGCUAAGCAGGGUUGGGCCUGCAAGGAAAGGGGUGUUGCAACCCAGGGCUCCCAUUUAAGAGCCCAUGGCCCCACGGUAACCUUCAGAG
Molecule: ribosomal RNA, 137 nt
Filed under: Otolemur garnettii (small-eared galago)
Lineage: Eukaryota; Metazoa; Chordata; Mammalia; Primates; Galagidae
Source: RNAcentral